ACCAGUCACAUGAAACUAGGGCCUGCCUGGUGAUCUCAUUUUAACUUGAUUACCUCUUCAAAACCCAUUUCCACAUAAGGCCACCUUCGGAAGUGCUGAGAAUUAGUACUACAAUAUACAUUUUGGGGGGGUUAGAAGGGAGCACAAUUCAACCCAUAACAGCUUUUUAGGUUCUACAUACCUGUAAUUCUAAGUAAUAUCAAGGAUAGUUAUUGGUAAAUUUUUAAAAAUCAUAUAUUGCUUUUCAAUAUUUCCAAAAUAUCUGUUAAAAUCUUAUCUGUUCCUUCUAUCUUUUCCCAUCAUCUAAACACAAAGAUUUUAUGGAUUAGUAUAGAAAAUAGAAUGAUUUUCAUGCUUUAUAUACAUAUUUUUAUUUCACUUUAGUGUUUUUUAAAUUAAUGCCUAACUAACAAAAUUGAAAAUAAAUAUAUAGAUUUUAGUAUUUAUGUUGAACUAGAUACUUUGUAUCAGAGAAGGAAACAUUUUUAUAAAAUUUGAUUAACUUUUCUUUCAGCCAUUUGUUCUCUUCCUAAGAAUAAGGCAGAAUAAGGUAAAUUUUAGCAGUGUCUUACUCAAGCAAUUGUCUCCUGAAGCCAACAAUGCAGAACAUUGUAGGACUGGUAACAUCAUAAAAUCUAAAGCAAUACCCAAAAUACUAACAAAAUCAGUUCACUGUGGAUUACCAUGGAUUCAUAGGUAGAAAUUUCUAGGUAUACUUCUGAAAAAGAUUGGUCUUCAGAUUUUCUGUAUUUCCUGAUAAAAGCUGAAUUGUUACUUUUAAAUAACUAGUGUAUUUUUAUAAAUGUCAAGCAUACUUGAACCAAAAGUCUGUUAAAACUUAUUGUCUCUUUUUCUGAUAUAUGCAAAAAAUAUUGUUUCAUGCAUCUCAAAUACAAUAAAAAAUUUGUCUUCUUCUUACAUAGCUAUUAUUAUAUAAAAUGCAAUUCCAGAAAUAGUAUUGAUUUAAUUCUUCACUACUAGUACUAAAUGCUUCCCGAAUAUAGAACCUAAGGAAUUGCCAGGGAAACCCUCACAGGUUAAUUUUUUUCAAGAUGCUUGAAUAAAUAAAUAUUUAAUUUGUGUAUUUAUCUCAUAAUUUCAACAAUUUUCCAAUAUCAGUCAAAUCAAAUUUGAUGUCAUUUCAUACCUCCAGAAAACAUGCGUAGACUUGUGCAAAUCCAUUAGCACCUUUGACAUCUUCACUGAGGUGUAGAAAGCUGUUAACAGAAGCUGUUCUGCUGAAGCCUCCACUGGGCACAGCUAACGUGUUUUGCUCUGAAAGGUCUGUUAACCUCUAUGUGUGAUGGGACAUGUUCUUAAUAGAAGAAUGCUCCUGAAAGCUGUUACCUAUCACUGCAUCUGAGAUCCUAACACAUUGCUGACUUAAUUCACUUCUCUUUUACUUUCUUUGGUAAUAAAAUUCAGGAGAAAGGUAUGUACUUUGACAAUGUGUGAGUGUCCUAAUGAAAGAUCAUUCCACCAUUUCUCCUCCUGCAAUAGUUUUUUAAGUGCAUGUCUAUUUUUUAAAAAAUUAUUGUCAUGGCUCUUAUAUGUCAUUUCAGAGAGUGGCAUACCUGAGAACCAGUUAUUUCUUUCAGUGGAUUUAAUAUAUUGUGUUCUGGUUAACAGUCUUUCUGAUUCCCUGAAAUUUUAGGCCUUUGCAGUAGGGAAGAGUGACAAGGAGAAAGGAAGGGGAAAGAAUGUUAAGUUGAAAGUCAUAUGAAACAUUAGAAAGAGAGGCCUUUCUGACACUCCUCUACCUCACUCUGCCCACCACCGUGAAUCAGUCAUACACUCACAGACUAUGAAAUGUAUAAUCUAACGAGCAAUUUUUAAAAUAUAAGAUAGUUUUCUUCCAUCAAUAUGCCACUGUCUUUCUCAGUGCUACUGAAAUACAUCUCAGAUUGACCAAUAAACCAUUCAGAACCAAUAAACCGUUCUAUAUUUAUAGAAUGUGACCAGGCAAUGUGAUAAAUUUACGUAAGUAGAGAAAUGUUGCUGUAUUUUUAAUGCUUGUCAUCUGGUUGACUUCAUUUUUCCUUACAUCUUGUUUAUUUUAUAAAACUGUCUUGAUUUUUUUACUUCCCUCUGUUUUCCUUAAUUUGGAGUCAAAGUUAGGGGUUGAAAUAAGAACUCAAUAUUGGUUAGCUUACAAAAUAAGGGGGAAUUUUUAGAGCAAGUCCAUCUUUAUUGAAAUAUAACUUUGCAUUUCAACUACAAAGUUAUCACUGAUGUUAAAUAGGAAAGUCAAACAUUGGAGUAGAAAUAUGGCAGGCCCUUCU
Long non-coding RNA from Phyllostomus discolor (pale spear-nosed bat), 2282 nucleotides. RefSeq lists it as uncharacterized. The transcript has 3 exons. Lineage: Eukaryota; Metazoa; Chordata; Mammalia; Chiroptera; Phyllostomidae. The record is from RefSeq and is a predicted model, not a curated record.